Long non-coding RNA from Lutra lutra (Eurasian river otter), 263 nucleotides. RefSeq lists it as uncharacterized. The transcript is spliced from 3 exons. The record is from RefSeq and is a predicted model, not a curated record. Lineage: Eukaryota; Metazoa; Chordata; Mammalia; Carnivora; Mustelidae.
UCCCUUCAUUUUUUAGUAAGAUGUCCUUUAACCUCCAUGUAUUUGUGGUCUUUCCAAAUUUUUUUCUUAUGGUUGAAUUCAAGUUUCAUAGAGCUGUGGUCUGAAAGUAUGUAUGGUAAGAUCUCCAUCUUUUUGUACUGGUUGAGUCCUGAUUUGUGACCCAGGAUGUGAUCUCUUCUGGAGAAUGUUCCAUGUGCACUUGAAAAGAAUGUAUAUUCUGUUGCUUUAGAAUGAAAUACUCUGAAUAUAUAUUUGAAGUCUAA